This 327-nucleotide ribosomal RNA is filed under the name uncultured eukaryote. RNAcentral describes it as "partial 18S ribosomal RNA". It matches the Rfam family "Eukaryotic small subunit ribosomal RNA", at positions 1470 to 1796 of the family's 1831-position model. The record is from RNAcentral.
CCCUUAGAUGUUCUGGGCCGCACGCGCGCUACACUGACGAAUGCAACGAGCUUAUAACCGUGGCCGAAAGGUCUGGGUAAUCUCCAAAUUUCGUCGUGAUGGGGAUAGAUUAUUGCAAUUAUUAAUCUUCAACGAGGAAUGCCUAGUAAGCGCAAGUCAUCAGCUUGCGUUGAUUACGUCCCUGCCCUUUGUACACACCGCCCGUCGCUCCUACCGAUUGAAUGGUCCGGUGAAGCGUUCGGACCGUGGCCUUUGGACGGUUCGCCGUCUGUUGGCUGCGGGAAGUUCGUUAAACCUUAUCAUUUAGAGGAAGGAGAAGUCGUAACA